GACGAACGCUGGCGGCGUGCUUAACACAUGCAAGUCGAACGGAAAGACCCUGCUUUUGUUGCGUGCUCGAGUGGCGAACGGGUGAGUAACACGUGAGUAACCUGCCCUUGACUGUGGGAUAACUUCAGGAAAAUGGGGCUAAUACCGGAGAGAAGCUCCUGCAGCAUGUGGGGGGUUGGAAAGUGACGGCGGUGGUGGCUGGUCUCGCUGCUUAUCAGCUGGUUGGUGGAGUAGUGGCUUACCAGGCCUUUGACGGGUAGCCGGCAUUGGAGGGUGAACGGCCACCUUGCGCCUGCGAUACGGCCCAGACUGCUACGGGCGGCAGUAGUGGGGAAUUUUGCACAAUGGCCGCAAGUCUGAUGCAGAAGCGCUCGGUGCGGGAUGCCGGCCUUCUGGUUGUAAACCGAUUUCGCCUGUGACGAAGAGUGAGUGACGGUAAUGGGUAAAGAAGCACCGGCUAACUACGUG
This 468-nucleotide ribosomal RNA is filed under the name uncultured bacterium. Its description in RNAcentral is "partial 16S ribosomal RNA". It matches the Rfam family "Bacterial small subunit ribosomal RNA", at positions 28 to 507 of the family's 1533-position model. The record is from RNAcentral.